This 251-nucleotide long non-coding RNA is filed under the name Elaeis guineensis (African oil palm). Its description in RNAcentral is "long non-coding RNA (EGUI_LNC051725)". The record is from RNAcentral. Lineage: Eukaryota; Viridiplantae; Streptophyta; Magnoliopsida; Arecales; Arecaceae.
AUAUAAUAAUAGAUGCCAACGAAGUCCAAAUACCACAAAGAAGGAUCCCUGCCAGUUUCAUUGUGGUACUAUUCAUCAAUAGUGCAACAUCAUGACCUUCUGGAUGGGACAUAUUCCUUGGGGCCGUUCGACUUAAACCAAAAAACCAGCAGUAAUCAGCUCUGUAAAAUCAUACACUUGAAGCUUUGCUCACCAACAAUUGCUUUGAAAUCAGCUUACCAAUCAAAAACCAGAAACUAGAAUAUUUAGAA